GUCUCUGUGGCCCAGUGGUUAGGGCACUGGCUACCUCAGCCAGAGACCCCGGGUUCGAAUCCCGGCGGAGACU
Molecule: non-coding RNA, 73 nt
Organism: Lytechinus pictus (painted urchin)
Lineage: Eukaryota; Metazoa; Echinodermata; Echinoidea; Temnopleuroida; Toxopneustidae
Source: the annotation of a RefSeq genome assembly